This is a long non-coding RNA of Thalassophryne amazonica, 222 nucleotides long. RefSeq lists it as uncharacterized. The transcript has 3 exons. The record is from RefSeq and is a predicted model, not a curated record. Lineage: Eukaryota; Metazoa; Chordata; Actinopteri; Batrachoidiformes; Batrachoididae.
GCACUGAGCAUCACAGCAAGAAGGUCAAGGGAUCCAUUCCUAAAUGUGACCUUCGUGUGGCGUUUGCAUGUUCUCCCCGUGAUUGUGUGGGUUCCUCCGGGUGCAUCAGCUUCCUCCCACAUCUAAAGGCAUGCAGAUUAGGUGGAUUGGAAACUUUAAAUUGUCCAUAGGUGUGCAUGUGGGUGUGAAUGUGUUUGUUUGCUUAUAUCGAAAGAGCACACG